RNAcentral lists this ribosomal RNA (402 nucleotides) under uncultured bacterium. Its description in RNAcentral is "bacterial SSU rRNA". It matches the Rfam family "Bacterial small subunit ribosomal RNA", at positions 28 to 407 of the family's 1533-position model. The record is from RNAcentral.
GAUGAACGCUGGCGGCGUGCUUAACACAUGCAAGUCGAACGAAGCGCUUGAGAUUGAUUCUUCGGAUGAUUUCUCUUGCGACUUAGUGGCGGACGGGUGAGUAACGCGUGGGUAACCUGCCUCACACAGGGGGGAUAACAGUUGGAAACGACCGCUAAAUACCGCAUAACCCGCUAGGGCCGCAUGGCCUGGACGGAAAAGAUUUAUCGGUGUGAGAUGGACCCGCGUUGGAUUAGCUAGUUGGCAGGGUAACGGCCUACCAAGGCGACGAUCCAUAGCCGGCCUGAGAGGGUGAACGGCCACAUUGGGACUGAGACACGGGCCCAAAACUCCUACGGGAGGCAGCAGUGGGGAAUAUUGGCACAAUGGGGGAAACCCUGAUGCAGCGACGCCGCGUGAGUG